Non-coding RNA from Hypholoma sublateritium FD-334 SS-4, 101 nucleotides. The record is from the annotation of a GenBank genome assembly. NCBI's taxonomy places the organism in Eukaryota, Fungi, Basidiomycota, Agaricomycetes, Agaricales, Strophariaceae.
GGUUCAAUGGUCUAGUGGUUAUGAUUUCUGUCUCACAUUGAGAUUCGAGCUUUGUCUCCAGGGCGCACAGAAGGUCUCCAGUUCGAUCCUGGAUUGAACCA